GUGAGGAAUAUUGCGCAAUGGAGGCAACUCUGACGCAGCCAUGCCGCGUGCAGGAAGAAGGCGCUACGCGUUGUAAACUGCUUUUAACCGGGAAGAAACCCCAGGACGUGUCCUGGGUUGACGGUACCGGAGGAAUAAGCACCGGCUAACUUCGUGCCAGCAGCCGCGGUAAUACGAAGGGUGCAAGCGUUAUCCGGAUUCAUUGGGUUUAAAGGGUGCGUAGGCGGAGCGUUAAGUCAGUGGUGAAAUCCUGCAGCUUAACUGUAGACUUGCCAUUGAUACUGGCGCUCUUGGGUGCGCUUGAAGUGGGCGGAAUGUGCCGUGUAGCGGUGAAAUGCUUAGAUAUGGCACAGAACACCAAUUGCGAAGGCAGCUCACUAAGGCGAUACUGACGCUGAGGCACGAAAGCGUGGGGAUCGAACAGGAUUAGAAACCCUGGUAGUCC
Molecule: ribosomal RNA, 445 nt
Filed under: uncultured bacterium
Lineage: Bacteria
Description: partial 16S ribosomal RNA
Rfam family: Bacterial small subunit ribosomal RNA
Source: RNAcentral